UCUUACUCAGCUGCCGGAGAAUAUCAGAACUAACGAGUAAUAAACUCCCUUCAGCUAGGACAAGCCAAAACAAUCCUACAUUCUGAUUUGAGUAAUGGGAAAUCUAUUCUGUCACCAGUUAAUAAAACACGUUGUUUCUUCAGAUUUGCUGAUCGUGAGUUUCCACCUUUCACUGAUUUUUUUUUUUUUUUGCACCACUCAAAACCAAGGCAGCAAAUACAUUAGUGGAAAAUGAACAAACGAAUGAGGUUAUUUAGCUCUUUUUCGUGUGACGUCAUUUUCUGAUCAGGUACUAGCAUCUUGGUGCUCGUUAUUUUUAACAAUUGGUUAGAUAUUUAUCCUCUUGUUUUAUUUUGCUCAUACAGUAAUAAAACAUUUCAAAUGCAAACAGGCGACUUGCUUUUACUGAAUAAUCUUAAUUUUUAGUAGCGAUGAAAAACUCUUUUUAAGGUUAAUACAGAAAGACAUUUUAAAUCAUUUCUCCGCACUCUUUGCUCAGAGUAAUUGUUAUGCCUGGGAAACGCAGGCUCCAUCGCUGUGCCGUACAGUGGCCAUCGCAGUUCUGUUGUGAUGCCAUUCUAUCACAACUUGCCUUGAAGGGGCGAUUCAGACCGCCUAACUUCUGCAACCUAACAGGAACCUUUGCCGCCUAGGUGUGGAUUCAAUGUAGACUCCAGCAGAGGGUGUUAAGAGCACCGUAUUUCUGCUUUGAAACGUGCUCUCUCAUCUGGUCCUUUUUUCUGGGACUGGAAGAGAAGCCUGCACUCCUAAUUUAGACACACAGGUAAGAACACCAAGAAAAUAACGUUGAUCCUCUCUUCACGAGUUUUGUCAAGUCCAAAAAUUACAGUAAUUUAAAAUAGUUAAUAUUGCCUUUAGAAUACAAAAACUAGUGUCCUAUUAGUUCUGGAAGAAAUACAUCAAAAAGAUUUUUUACCUAAAAAGUUAAAGCACACAAAGAACAUGGUAGCAAGGAAAUGAAUCUCAUCAGGAAAUCAAAUCAAAAUCAAAUGAAUCAAAUCAAAUCAAAUCAAAUCAAAUCAAAUGAAUUUCAUCAGGAAACUCAUUGUGGAAAGAUAGAUGAAGUACUCUGUUAUAAUCUUAGAUUUUCUUUGUGAUGACAGUUUUCAUAGUUCCAUCUUAAAGAAAAUUCCUCCAUUUGUUUAUUGUAGUCUCUUUGCAGACUUGUUGAAACCAGGUGUAGCAGAAAUAAAUAUUUUCCAGACUACCGGGGAAGUUUAGCCAUCAUAUUAUAGAACGGGGCAAUGCUUCUCAAUGAGAUGUUUACAAAAAUAGCAGAUGGUCCUUCUUAUUUGUUAGAUUGAUAGAUUGAACUAUUGUCGGAAGCAAUCUGAAGUAAAGUAAGAAGAGUGCAGUUUGUGCCUGCCUUUUCUUUUUAAAGCUUUAUUGUAUUUUUCUGCUAUAUUUUACAGGUGGCAGCUGAUGCUUGCAAGUUAAUGGGAUAUCGGAAAUAUUUCAAACAAAUGGUACAAGAUGAGAUUUGGUACCAAAACAUAUGAUAACAGAUGAAAUGCAUAUUGCUACAGUGAAAGAUUACAUUCAUGAAGGAAAUGUUUUCAGAUAUUUUAUUACAGUAAUCUGGAUGAGAUCCCUGCAUACUAUGGUGGCCCAAAUAACUGCUGAAAAAGGUUGUCUCUGCAAAAUUUCUCUAGGACAGUGAUAAUAUAUGACAUAAUGGAUUGUGCACGUUCCAAAACACUGUAAGACAAACUUUAAAAGGAGCUGAAGUUUCUGCUGCUGAGGCCACAGAAUAAAGACCUUUGGAAUAAUCAACUCCUGGAUGCUUCUAAUGUUAGAUAUUCUGCACAAAGCGCAGUCGGAUGUGACACAUCAGGUAUACAGCUUUACUAGGACUACAUGAAGUCCAUGGGACUUACCAACUCAUACACAAAAACAGCACCUGGAGAAUGCAAGGUACCGAAACUGAACGUUACGAAUAGGAAUGACUCUGCUGAACAUCAAGAAAUGGCAAUUUCACAAACCGAAAAGCCUGAGGAUCAGUCUACUGUUACAGCAAAACAGGAAUACGAAGCAGCUAAAUUGUAUGCCUGGUCACAGGCAUUAUCUCUUGAGGACACUCAAUGAUUUGCAUCCUCAGCUGAUCCUCAGCACAAGUCUUCAGAAGUUAAAGCACUAGAAAAUUGCAACCCAUGUAGUCGCUUUAACACAUUCUCUCCUGCUUUGUGAACAGACUGCAAAUAUGAAAACACGGCUUCCUACACUUAAGUUUAGAAGAACUGAUAUAUUCAUUGUAAUUAUU
This is a long non-coding RNA of Cygnus atratus (black swan), 2281 nucleotides long. RefSeq lists it as uncharacterized. The record is from RefSeq and is a predicted model, not a curated record. The transcript is spliced from 5 exons. Lineage: Eukaryota; Metazoa; Chordata; Aves; Anseriformes; Anatidae.